RNAcentral lists this ribosomal RNA (468 nucleotides) under uncultured bacterium. RNAcentral describes it as "partial 16S ribosomal RNA". It matches the Rfam family "Bacterial small subunit ribosomal RNA", at positions 28 to 507 of the family's 1533-position model. The record is from RNAcentral.
GACGAACGCUGGCGGCGUGCUUAACACAUGCAAGUCGAACGGAAAGGCCCUGCUUUUGUGGGGUGCUCGAGUGGCGAACGGGUGAGUAACACGUGAGUAACCUGCCCUUGACUUUGGGAUAACUUCAGGAAGCUGGGGCUAAUACCGGAUAGGAGCUCCUGCUGCAUGGUGGGGGUUGGAAAGUUUCGGCGGUUGGGGAUGGACUCGCGGCUUAUCAGCUUGUUGGUGGGGUAGUGGCUUACCAAGGCUUUGACGGGUAGCCGGCCUGAGAGGGUGACCGGCCACAUUGGGACUGAGAUACGGCACAGACUCCUACGGGAGGCAGCAGUGGGGAAUAUUGCACAAUGGGCGGAAGCCUGAUGCAGCAACGCCGCGUGCGGGAUGACGGCCUUCGGGUUGUAAACCGCUUUCGCCUGUGACGAAGCGUGAGUGACGGUAAUGGGUAAAGAAGCACCGGCUAACUACGUG